RNAcentral lists this long non-coding RNA (1142 nucleotides) under Daucus carota (carrot). RNAcentral's name for it is "long non-coding RNA (DCAR_LNC003344)". The record is from RNAcentral. Lineage: Eukaryota; Viridiplantae; Streptophyta; Magnoliopsida; Apiales; Apiaceae.
AGAGUCAUCUGGUGGUUGAAAUAUAAGCAGUCACUCAGGGAAAGCUAUUUUCUGCAAGUUAUGGUAAUCUUCGGAAAAUGUGAUUUGUUAGUUAUUUGGUAUGUAACAUUGACAAAAUUUGUGUUAUAUUCUUAAGAUUAACUGUAAAAUGUAGGUACAUACAGUAGUAUUUUAUCCGGAUAACUGGUGAAUGGGAUUGUGAAAUUUUGUGGGAGGCAACAAAGUAGAAGAGCAAAAAUGACACUACAGGUAUGAAUGUGCAAUCUUUUUUACUGGAAGCAUUGUGCAUAAGUUAUAUAUCUGAAGCAAUGUAACAAGAAAGUUAUUAUUUUGAUACUGUAGUGCUAGUGUAUGCUAUGUUCUGCUAGCAAUGUGUAUUCAUCUUGGCAAUAUACACAAGAUUCCCAAAAGUAUCGAAGAAAUACAAUGAAGUCUUAAAGUUGUAUAAGCCUCUGUCAUUCUUUGUUAUGCCGAAAUAUAAACUAAAGACUUCAAACCUCUAGCAUACUAGUCAUAGAAAAUGAUAUACAUGAUAUUCACUUUUGUAUCUUAGUGACAGUAUUGACCUACAUUUGCCCGGAGGAAGAUGCUAUUGGUGAAUGCACAUGUUAGAUUUGCACUCUGGGGUGCCAGAGAUCUAAAUAAUAACAUCAACGUGAUAGGAAAACAAUUGAUUAAACAUUGAAGGGCCUUCCAUAAUAUUUUUAUUGUUUUAGCUUUAAGUACAAAGAACAGUAUUAUUUUGUUCUGAUAUUUUCUCCCCUCAUUCAGUUUUACCUUCAACAAGGCCUGAACCCUUCUGUAAAGGGAGUGAGGGUUACUGCUACCAAAAAAGCCUUUGCUAUUUUUUCUGCCUGAUCUUUACUGGCUAGAAACAGCAUCAGUUGGCACAGUGCAAACUGAAAAUUCUCCAUACUUGCCUCCUCUCCUUAACAAAUUUAAACUGAAAAUGAUGGGCUAUAAUUUUUCUUCAAACUUCUAAGUACUGCAGAGUUACGAAUUUCUCAGUAAUUGUGAUAUUGAUAAUUUGAUAUGCUUAAGAGUCAUUGACCUCUGUAAUAAACCUUCCAGAUAUACUUCCCCAGAUCUGGGGAUACAUGUAUUGUGAUUGUCUGAUCCCCUUGUUGAGGGAGGCAGAGGGG